Mesocricetus auratus (golden hamster) is the source of this 1156-nucleotide long non-coding RNA. RefSeq lists it as uncharacterized. The transcript has 4 exons. The record is from RefSeq and is a predicted model, not a curated record. NCBI's taxonomy places the organism in Eukaryota, Metazoa, Chordata, Mammalia, Rodentia, Cricetidae.
CAAUGGGAGCUGUCAUACCCAGCCUGGUCAUCCAAGAACCAAGAGAGAGCCAGGAACUGAAGUGUCUUUAGACAAGAAUUGGCCUCUGCAGAUCCAGGGCCACCUGUUUUUCUGGCCCAGCUUAGAUGCCCCCAAUUCCUGACACACAGGACCCAAGAGGUGUUUCAUGUUUCAUGCCCCUAGGGCUUGAGGUCAUUUGCUGCCACCUGGAAUAGAGUGGAUGAAGAUUUGGACAUCAAGGUGUGCUAAGGUAAACUGAGGACGGAAGAGGUCAGAGGGAUUAUACCACAGGACAUGCUCUGAGGGCGAAGGAGGACCCUGGACCAGUUGCUGUGGGAUCUGCCCAACAAGCCAAACGGGAAACCCAGGAAACCCAGUUACUCAGGAGAGUGUGUGAGAAGGAGGCUAAAUCUCUCAGGAACUCCCACGAGGGUGUUAAAAAAUACUGCACACUGGGGCUGGCUUAUCCAGCCCGGGACCUCCACAGCAGUGCUCAGCAAGACCCACAGUCUCACCCCAAGGCAUUCCAACACAGUUGCUGAGGGAUGUCACCUUCUUCCACUGAUGCUGCUUCUCAUGGCAGUCAUGGCUGCAGGGUGCUCAUUCAGUCUGGCCCAGGGCUGCACACCACUCAUUCAGUCUGGCCUCUCUUCCUGCCCCUUCUCUUUGGCCCAGAGACCAACAUGGACACUCCUCUCUGCUUUCUCUGCAUCUUACCUCAGGCACCUCUCAGUGACCCAUGGAAGAAACGGGAGAAGAUGAAGCUCCACACAGGCUUGGCUUUUGAGACAGGAGUGAGACUUAAAAGGGGCCCUCAGUGGUCAUCAAGUUCAUGGCUGACAAUGGGAGUGUGCUCACCCCUCUCUGAUUGCCUUUUCUCCUGUCACCCUGGGGUUUGGAGGCAGGAGGCAAAGGGCACUCGAGGGAAUCCUGGUGGGACAGGUGGUUGGUAAAUUGAUUCCUCCCCAAGCCUGGGGUGUAGCAGCAAGCUGUGCCCAUUAAGCCUCUUACUGCCAGCUAAGUGUGCUGGUCUGAGGGCUCGAGUGAAAAGUUGAGACUGAUGGGGGUACAGAAGAUGGCACGAGGCGCCAGACAGCCAUUUGCUUAGCAAACUCACUAAUUCUAACCUCUGCCUCUCAGACCAAAGAUCUUUUGA